CCUGGGGCUGAAGCCGGUCCCAAGGGUAUGGCUGUUCGCCAUUUAAAGAGGUACGCGAGCUGGGUUUAGAACGUCGUGAGACAGUUCGGUCCCUAUCUGCCGUGGGCGUUGGAGAUUUGAGAGGAGCUGCUCCUAGUACGAGAGGACCGGAGUGGACGAACCUCUGGUGUUCCGGUUGUCACGCCAGUGGCAUUGCCGGGUAGCUACGUUCGGACGGGAUAACCGCUGAAAGCAUCUAAGCGGGAAGCCUCCCUCAAGAUGAGAUCUCCCUGGGAACUUGAUUCCCCUGAAGGGCCGUUGAAGACCACAACGUUGAUAGGCUGGGUGUGGAAGCGUUGUAAGGCGUGAAGCUAACCAGUACUAAUUGCCCGUGAGGCUUGACUAUAUAACACCAAAGCAGUUACU
Molecule: ribosomal RNA, 405 nt
Filed under: Alcanivorax borkumensis
Lineage: Bacteria; Pseudomonadati; Pseudomonadota; Gammaproteobacteria; Oceanospirillales; Alcanivoracaceae
Description: bacterial LSU rRNA
Rfam family: Bacterial large subunit ribosomal RNA
Source: RNAcentral